UUUUCACUUUUACUUAAUGUCGGUUGAUCAGUUCAAGGCGAAGGGCAACGAUGCCUUCAAGGCGAAGAACUUUAAGGAGGCCAUUGAGUUUUACACCAAGGCA
This 103-nucleotide non-coding RNA is filed under the name Platyophrya macrostoma. The record is from RNAcentral. Lineage: Eukaryota; Ciliophora; Colpodea; Cyrtolophosidida; Platyophryidae.